Molecule: transfer RNA, 67 nt
Filed under: Evandromyia infraspinosa
Lineage: Eukaryota; Metazoa; Arthropoda; Insecta; Diptera; Psychodidae
Description: tRNA-Glu
Source: RNAcentral
AUUUAUAUAGUUUAAUAAUAAAACAUUAUAUUUUCAUUAUAAAGAAAAACAUUUUGUUUUAUAAAUU